This 447-nucleotide ribosomal RNA is filed under the name uncultured bacterium. RNAcentral's name for it is "bacterial SSU rRNA". It matches the Rfam family "Bacterial small subunit ribosomal RNA", at positions 355 to 825 of the family's 1533-position model. The record is from RNAcentral.
UGGGGAAUAUUGGACAAUGGGCGAAAGCCUGAUCCAGCCAUGCCGCGUGAGUGACGAAGGCCUUAGGGUUGUAAAACUCUUUCGUCGGGGACGAUAAUGACGGUACCCGAAGAAGAAGCUCCGGCUAACUUCGUGCCAGCAGCCGCGGUAAUACGAAGGGAGCUAGCGUUGUUCGGAAUCACUGGGCGUAAAGCGCACGUAGGCGGAUAGUUAAGUCAGGGGUGAAAUCCUGGGGCUCAACCCCAGAACUGCCUUUGAUACUGGCUGUCUCGAGGUCGAGAGAGGUUGGUGGAAUUCCUAGUGUAGAGGUGAAAUUCGUAGAUAUUAGGAAGAACACCAGUGGCGAAGGCGGCCAACUGGCUCGAUACUGACGCUGAGGUGCGAAAGCGUGGGGAGCAAACAGGAUUAGAUACCCUAGUAGUCCCUGAGCGGGCUGGCAAGGCGCAU